CCGCGAGCUGCGCACCGCCGGCCGGCUGACCCCUCGGCCCGCGCCCGCGCCCUUGUCCGCCGACCCCGCGGCGGGCUCCAGGCGGCCGACAGCAUGAGCGGCGGCGGCGACGUAGUGUGCACCGGCUGGCUGAGGAAAUCGCCCCCCGAGAAGAAGUUGAGGCGCUAUGCCUGGAAGAAACGCUGGUUUAUCCUGCGGAGUGGGCGGAUGAGCGGUGACCCAGAUGUUCUGGAAUACUACAAGAAUGAUCACUCCAAGAAGCCCCUGCGCAUCAUCAACCUGAACUUCUGCGAGCAGGUGGAUGCAGGCCUGACCUUCAACAAGAAGGAGCUGCAGGAUAGUUUUGUGUUUGACAUCAAGACCAGCGAGCGCACCUUUUACCUGGUGGCCGAGACGGAGGAGGACAUGAAUAAGUGGGUCCAGAGCAUCUGCCAGAUCUGUGGCUUCAAUCAGGCUGAGGAGAGCACAGACUCCCUGAGGAACAUUUCCUCAGCCAGUCACGGCCCCCGCUCUUCUCCAGCUGAGCUCAGCAGCUCCAAUCAGCACCUUCUCCGAGAACGAAAAUCCUCAGCCCCGUCGCACUCCAGCCAGCCAACCUUGUUCACCUUUGAACCCCCGGUGUCGAACCACGUGCAGCCUGCCUUGUCCACCAGUGCACCUCAGGAGUAUCUCUACUUGCACCAGUGCAUAAGCCGGAGAGCAGAAAACGCAAGGAGCGCCAGCUUCUCUCAGGGCACCAGGGCCUCGUUUCUCAUGAGGAGCGACACGGCCGUGCAAAAACUUGCCCAGGGCAACGGACACUGUGUCAACGGGGUCAGUGGUCAAGUCCAUGGCUUCUAUAGCCUCCCCAAGCCAAGCAGGCACAAUACAGAAUUCAGAGACAGUACCUACGACCUCCCCCGGAGCCUGGCCUCCCAUGGCCACACCAAGAGCAGCCUCACAGGCUCUGAGACGGAUAACGAGGACGUGUACACCUUCAAGAUGCCCAGCAACACCCUGUGCCGUGAGUUUGGGGACCUCCUGGUGGAUAAUAUGGAUGUUCCGGCCACCCCGCUCUCAGCCUACCAGAUCCCUAGGACGUUCACACUGGACAAGAACCACAACACCAUGGCAGUCGCCGCUCCUGGGGACUCGGCCAUAGCCCCCCCGCCCCGGCCCCCCAAGCCAAGUCAGGCAGAAACACCUCGAUGGGGCAGCCCUCAGCAGAGGCCUCCAGUCGGUGACAGCAGCAGAUCGGCCUCUGCCGCUGCAACCAUCCCCAGGCGCAAUACCCUCCCAGCCAUGGACAACAGCCGACUUCACCGAGCUUCUUCCUGCGAGUCCUACGACUACCCCCAGCGUGGUGGAGACAAUGCGGGCCGGUCCACCGAGUCCAUGAGUGAUGCAGUCAGCGCUUUUCUGCCAGGGAAAACAGUUGUGGGCCGAUCGGAUAGCACCAAUUCCGAAGACAACUACGUGCCCAUGAAUCCAGGCUCCUCCACCCUGCUGGCUUUGGAGCGAGCAGGUGAUAAUUCCCAGAGUGUCUACAUCCCCAUGAGCCCAGGGCCCCAUCACUUUGACCCGCUUGGCUACCCCACCUCCGCCCUUCCUAUGCACCGAGGCUCCAGCCGAGGGAGUGAGAUCCAGCCACCCCCUGUCAACCGCAACCUCAAACCUGACCGGAAAGCAAAGCCAACACCACUGGACCUGAGAAACAAUACCGUCAUCGAUGAGCUCCCCUUCAAGUCACCCAUCACCAAGUCUUGGUCCAGGGCCAUCCACUCCUUCAACCCGGGGUCCUCCCAGUACUGCCGCCCCAUCUCCACACAGAGCAUCACCAGCACGGACUCGGGGGACAGCGAAGAGAACUACGUCCCUAUGCAAAACCCAGUGUCUGCAUCUCCCAUCCCCAGUGGCACCAACAGUCCGGCCCCUAAGAAGAGCACUGGCAGCGUGGAUUAUCUGGCCCUGGACUUCCAGCCAAGCUCCCCAAGCCCCCACCGCAAGCCAUCCACGUCAUCUGUCACUUCCGACGAGAAGGUAGACUACGUUCAGGUGGACAAGGAGAAGACCCAGGCCCUGCAGAACACCAUGCAGGAGUGGACAGACGUGCGGCAGUCCUCGGAGCCUUCCAAGGGGGCCAAGCUGUGACACGCGGGCCGCCGCCCCAGGGAGGGGCCAGGAGGCGGCGUCUCCAGAGCCGACGCCUCCCCGUCUGUCUCCCCCUUCUCCUCUCCAGCGCGCCCUCCUGCCCACCCCCUCUCUACUCUGCCACUCUAGCCUUCAAAGCACUUGACAUCAGGGACCCUGACCCCUUCCCCUGGGAGGUGAGGGCCUGAUCGAGGCGCUUCCUCGGCUCACUCGGGGCCCACCUUGAUUUUUAUCAGCAAUGGCCAUGCCUCUACCCACCUUAGUUAGAGCUAUUGCCAAAAAGCAUCCUUCAGCCUCCUACCGCCCUUUAGACCCGAAUACCUACCAGACGUGUGGAGGGAGGGGCUGGGGCUCUGAGCCAGAUUCCACACCUCACCUUUGGGCACAGCUCUCAGCCCCUGUCCCUCCCGCUACUGGGCUACCUCUCCCCCAGUCCCGGAAGAAGCCAAGUCGUCUCGCUGACCCAGGGAGCCAAGGACCAGCGGACCAGAGUGGAUACAGACUUCUUCAGCCCUGUCUGUCUUGGCAGGGGGGAGGCAAGGCCACCAAAAGAUGAAGGAGUCGAGGAGGAAGGUGGAGGCAAGAGUAGAGACGGGAGGAAGUACAAGAGAAGAGGAAAUUGGCCUGUUGAAAGCAGAGACUGGCUCAAAAGCCCCAAGUACCAGGAGGCUCAAUGGACCAAAGAGAUGAAUUCUGAGCAUGACUCUGUCUCUGACAGACAGACGACUGUCGGCCCACUUUCCCUGGUCCCUGAGGUCUCAAGGUCUAUGGCUUUUGGGCCAAAACUCAAAACUCCUCCAUCUGCAGCCCUUGAAGCCCCCGGCCAGGCCCCUGCAGUCCCAAGCUCCAAGAUGGCUGGAACCUGAGGGCUGCCGCCUACUUUCCUCCUGGCCUGAGCCCAGCCCAGCCCACCCCAGGUUCUCAGAGGGCUUGGAUCCACCUCUGCUUUGUAUACUACAGAGAAACAAACAAACAAGACUGUCUGAAAGGAGCUGGAAAGGAACUGCUACUUGAUGAUGGCAAAACACCAGCGCUGUGACGUUCAGCCCUGUGGGGCAGCCUGCAGGGGGUGGGGGACAAGGCCCAGAGAGUGUCCAUCUCAGCUGCUUCAAGCUGACCAGGACACUUGGGUGUAAGUAAGUAAGUCUUAAACAGGGCUGAUCCCAGUGUCGGGACCUGAGGCCCGGUUUAAGGGGCUUGGGUCUCACCUCUGUAUCUAGCAUCUAUCAUCUGAGUGAGUCUCCGUGUGCCCUUCAGGCUGAGGGCAGGGGCCCAGAAGCCCCCGCUCCAUCUCUCUGGCCCUCGGAAGGGCCUGCCCUCAGGACUGGACCUGCACAGCCUCCCUCAGACCCCACCUGGCCGAGCACCUCUGCCCGGGACCUGGGCCUCCACCUCCCCCCCCCCCCCCCCCGCCGAGGUUGCCUGUGGCACCCUCACAGGUGCUUAGCAGGCCAGGGGAUGAGGGUUCCCAUUAGAAGACCAGUCUGUGGAAGUCACCACCGCCGCCACCUGCAGGGCUGCAGCCCCCCGGAGGGCCUUCAUCCUCAUCUUUGUCUUCGUCAAAGCCCCUCCCCCAGUGCGGAGAUGUGGGGAGUGCGGAGAUGUAGGCCGCCCUGCUCCGUGCCUCCUUCUCCUGCUCCUGGAAAUACAGAUGGGGAUGGGGCCGGAAGCUGAGACGUCAAAGUCAGUCAGGCUCUGAAGCCUCAGUUCUCCCUGCACGCCCCCAAUGCCACCCAGCCCCUCCGCGCAUCGCCCCGGUCCCCAGGGCCAGGCACAGAGGAGCCACAGCUUCUGGCCUAGAGGCACUUCAGCUUAGUGGGAGGAUGGGCUUCCACAGCAUUCUUCCUCCUCCUCCCCCGAAUAAAAACUCCCAGCCCCCUGGAGGAAAGGAACUCAUUUCUACUAACUAGACUGUGAACAGCUGACAAGGGCCUGACGUGGCACCAGAAAGCAGGAGGUGCAGAGACUUCAAAGGGCACCUCAUAAACCCCCCCAGGGACCCUUCUGCAGGCUUCCUGACGUGGCUGUCCAGCUUCUGCCUCUCAAGGCACGAGGAACCCUCUGCCAACGAGGAAGCUCUUCCUCCUGCUGAACUGAGGCCAGCCAUGGAUUCGCCUUCCCACGGGCCCAGCCCUGCCUCCACCUGGACAGCUCAGCAGAAACGCAAAAGCAGAGCCAGGGUCCCCACAGCACGCAGGUGCUGCUGGCCAGGGGUCCUGACGUGACCACACCGGCUGUCUGUGGCGGCACUCCUCGUGCUGGUCCGCGCGCUGGCUGUUUCAGCGGCAAAGUAUUUUGACACCACCCUCGACUCUACAGAGUGGAGUCGAAGGCUCAGUGAGAGAAGAGGCUCACUGAGCCGGGCGGCCCCCCAUCCGCUCGUAUCCACUACUCACUCGCAGAGCCCCUCCUCCAGCACACUUAUGACACCUUAAUAAAAUAACUGAUAAUUC
Molecule: RNA transcript, 4583 nt
Organism: Balaenoptera ricei (Rice's whale)
Lineage: Eukaryota; Metazoa; Chordata; Mammalia; Artiodactyla; Balaenopteridae
Gene: GAB2
Gene name: GRB2 associated binding protein 2
Exons: 13
Source: RefSeq, a predicted model, not a curated record